RNAcentral lists this ribosomal RNA (468 nucleotides) under uncultured bacterium. RNAcentral describes it as "partial 16S ribosomal RNA". It matches the Rfam family "Bacterial small subunit ribosomal RNA", at positions 28 to 507 of the family's 1533-position model. The record is from RNAcentral.
GACGAACGCUGGCGGCGUGCUUAACACAUGCAAGUCGAACGGAAAGGCCCUGCUUUUGUGGGGUGCUCGAGUGGCGAACGGGUGAGUAACACGCGAGUAACCUGCCCUUGACUUUGGGAUAACUUCAGGAAACUGGGGCUAAUAUCGGAUAGGAGCUCCUGCUGCAUGGUGGGGGUUGGAAAGUUUCGGCGGUUGGGGCUGGACUCGCGGCUUAUCCGCUUGUUGGUGGGGUAGUGGCUUACCAAGGCUUUGAAGGGUAGCCGGCCUGAGAGGGUGACCGGCCACAUUGCGACUGCGAUACGGCCCAGACUCCUACGGGAGGCAGAAGUGGGGAAUAUUGCACAAUGGGCGGAAGCCUGAUGCAGCAACGCCGCGUGCGGGAUGACGGCCUUCGGGGUGUAAACCGCUUUCGCCUGAGACGAAGCGUGAGUGACGGUAAUGGGUAAAGAAGCACCGGCUAACUACGUG